This 108-nucleotide small nuclear RNA is filed under the name Bos taurus (domestic cattle). The record is from RNAcentral. RNAcentral also lists the same sequence under 1 other name. Lineage: Eukaryota; Metazoa; Chordata; Mammalia; Artiodactyla; Bovidae.
GUGCUCGCUUCGGCAGCACAUAUACUAAAAAUUGGAAUGAUACAGAGAAGAUUAGCAUGGCCCCUGUGCAAGGAUGACACGCAAAAUCAUGAAGUGUUCCGUAUUUUU